CAUUUUGUAUUUUUUUAUAGACUAAAACAUUUUCAUAUUUUUUUAAGAAUUAUGAAUCAAACACCAAUUAAAAUGUAACUUUAUAAACAUUUUGUAUUUUUUUAUAGACUAAAACAUUUUCAUAUUUUUUUAAGAAUUAUGAAUCAAACACCAAUUAAAAUGUAACUUUAACUGUGGAAUCCAAGUGCACCUUCAGUAAGUAAAAAAAAACAUAUCAUGCUCUUCAAUUGAUUUAUACAGCAUCUCAUUUUCUCUUGUUCUCAAAUUGGACCCCUCAACCAAUCAUCCAUCGACACCUGGCCAAAUACAAAUAUUAAAUAAUGCAAAAUUAAUAGAAACAAAUAUUUCCUCAAAUAUGCAUGUGAUGGAAAAAGGGGAUUUUUUUUUAAAAAUAAUCAUGUUUUUUAAAAAAAAUACGAAAAUAAUCAACUUUUCAAAAAAAAAUCCAAAAUAACCAUGUUUGGGGAGGAUGCGCCGGGGGAGUUGGCGCACCCCCCAAAAAAUAAGAGGAGGCGCCAGAUGCAUUGGGCAAUAUGAAGAGGCGCCAAUGCUUGUGGCGCCUCUACAUGGCCCUCCAAGAGAAAGGGCCAAUACUGGCGCCUAUGUGUCUCUUUUGAAAAGAAAAUUUAAUUUUCCAGACAACAAGAAUCAAACACACAACCUUUGGAUCAAUAGUGAAACACGUUACCAUUGCACCACAAACCCUUCAUGUUAAUUUGUUUCAUCAUAUAUUUAAUAUACCGUGUAUAAUUACUUAAAAGGAGAUAUCCUAAUUUUUAAACUAAUUAAUUUCAAAUUAACCCAAUUAUUCCCAAUUAUGCUAAUUAAUUACUAAUUUAAAUUAUACUUAAUUAAACAUUUUGUAUUUUUUUAUAGACUAAAACAUUUUCAUAUUUUUUUAAGAAUUAUGAAUCAAACACCAAUUAAAAUGUAACUUUAUAAACAUUUUGUAUUUUUUUAUAGACUAAAACAUUUUCAUAUUUUUUUAAGAAUUAUGAAUCAAACACCAAUUAAAAUGUAACUUUAACUGUGGAAUCCAAGUGCACCUUCAGUAAGUAAAAAAAAAAACAUAUCAUGCUCUUCAAUUGAUUUAUACAGCAUCUCAUUUUCUCUUGUUCUCAAAUUGGACCCCUCAACCAAUCAUCCAUCGAC
RNAcentral lists this long non-coding RNA (1152 nucleotides) under Lathyrus oleraceus (garden pea). RNAcentral describes it as "Pisum sativum (pea) long non-coding RNA (PSAT_LNC032707)". The record is from RNAcentral. Lineage: Eukaryota; Viridiplantae; Streptophyta; Magnoliopsida; Fabales; Fabaceae.